UUGAAUGUUAAAAUACCUUUCAAAUAUAAUGUUAAGUGGGUAUCAUUACCCAUUUUACUCUUAGUAAUUUAAAAAGAGUAAUAAUAAGUUAAGAAAUUUAAGAAAUUUUAAAAUGUAUAAGUUCAGAUUUGAGGUAUCGUAUCAAUAUCGGUGAUAUUGACCUUGAAAGUAUCGGUAUCGUAUUGAAAACAAAAUAAGUGGUAUCGCCCAUCCCUGACAAAAUGAGUGUAUUUAUUUCUCAGGCAUGCCUCCAUCUUUCUACACAAUGCUUACUGUUAAAAUAAAGUUUAAAAAAGGGGGGUCUUUGAUCCCUUUUUUGAAAGCAUGAAAUAUGGUUGGUUGAAAAUUUAAUUUAAGCAUUGUUGCUUACCUCAUAUAUUGUGGAGAAACAAGGCAAUUUUCUUAAAAUUUAUGUUAGAGCACAUUAAUACAGUAUAAUACGGACCUAAAUGGACGAUUUGAAAAGGGUUUUGUUCUUUUGGUAAAAACGUUUUUUUUUUUUUUUUUUUUAUGGUAAAGAUGACCUUUGCGUGGAAUUGCCCUGAACAAGCACACACUCAAUAUAAGGCGUAGCUGAUCAGCACCAGCUGAAGCCAAUCGCUAAUUAGCGAUCAUGAGUUGCCCAGCAGAAAGUGUGAUCACACACACACACUCACACACACACAGAAGACAUGGAAGAAAUCCACAGACCUACGAACCGUGACAACCACCCCUGGUUUAUAGUAAUGGCCAUAGCUGAGAGGUGUUUAUUCCUCAUGUAUAAAUGUUACAUGUUUAGCUCCUACACACCUGCCUGGAAGUUUUCAUUGUUCCCUUUCGAAAGGGACCCCCCGCUGCGUCCACUAGAGGUCGCUAUGGGGAAUGCCUCUGACAUGCCAGGUGUCUAAAACUUUGGUUUUCUUCAGUGUUAUCAAUGUCUGAAGCCAAAGAAGAUAUCAGCAGCUGCUCGAAGAUCUCGCCUUUGGAGAAGACUGAUUUUAUACUCAAAAAAAUCUGUGCCAAUUCUGCAUCUUUAUUCUGAUGAAGCAGCUGAUGAACACCUUCAUCCAUCAUGUCCCUCACUGAUCCCUCGUCCCUCGUUGAUCCAGAGGAUGAGGAAGAUGAUGAUGAUGGACCCCUGAACCCCAC
Molecule: long non-coding RNA, 1128 nt
Organism: Ctenopharyngodon idella (grass carp)
Lineage: Eukaryota; Metazoa; Chordata; Actinopteri; Cypriniformes; Xenocyprididae
Exons: 3
Source: RefSeq, a predicted model, not a curated record